This 1601-nucleotide ribosomal RNA is filed under the name uncultured bacterium. RNAcentral's name for it is "bacterial SSU rRNA". It matches the Rfam family "Bacterial small subunit ribosomal RNA", at positions 32 to 1387 of the family's 1533-position model. The record is from RNAcentral.
AACGUAGGCGGCGUGGAUUAGGCAUGCAAGUCGAACGAAUCCCCAGCAAUGGGGGGAAGUGGCGAAAGGGGCAGUAAGGCGUGGGUAACCUACCCCGAGGACCGGGAUAGCCACUCUAACGAGUGGGUAAUACCGGGCGCGGUACCGGGAGGGCAUCCUUCGGGUAUGGAAGGGUCCGCCGCCUCGGGAGGGGCUCACGUAGUAUUAGCUAGACGGCGGGGUAACGGCCCACCGUGGCGAAGAUGCUUAGCGGGUGUGAGAGCACGACCCGCGCCACUGGCACUGAGAACUGGCCAGACUCCUACGGGAGGCUGCAGUCGAGGAUCUUCGGCAAUGGGCGCAAGCCUGACCGAGCGACGCCGCGUGCGCGAUGAAGGCCUUCGGGUUGUAAAGCGCUGUCGAGGGGGAGAAAGCCCGCAAGGGUUGAUCGACCCCUGGAGGAAGCACGGGCUAAGUUCGUGCCAGCAGCCGCGGUAAGACGAACCGUGCGAACGUUGUUCGGAUUCACUGGGCUUAAAGGGCGCGUAGGCGGGCAUUCAAGUCGGGGGUGAAAUCCCACGGCCCAACCGUGGAAGUGCCCCCGAUACUGGGUGUCUGGAGGGAGGUAGGGGUGUGUGGAACUUCCGGUGGAGCGGUGAAAUGCGUAGAUAUCGGAAGGAACGCCGGUGGCGAAAGCGACGCACUGGACCUCUUCUGACGCUGAGGCGCGAAAGCCAGGGGAGCAAACGGGAUUAGAUACCACAAGUGUCCCCCAUACGGGUAACCGUAUGGUGUGCAUCCGGCUAUAUCGGGGGAAGUCUCACGGCAAGUGAGACAAUCCCGACGGAAGUCGCACCCGCGAGGGUGUUGACCCGCUAGAGACUACACGCCGGAUACCCUUCUUUGGGAGGGUAAUGAUAUAGUCCGAGCUGCAUGGCGACAUGCAGAGCCGGCCAGAAAUGAGUCGGCCCCAGGUGCGAGCCUGGAGUAACAAGACUGACCCCGGUAGUCCUGGCCCUAAACGAUGGGUACUAGGUAGUGGGCCGGCAUGGGCUCCCUGCCGAAGCGAAAGUGCUAAGUACCCCGCCUGGGGAGUAUGGUCGCAAGGCUGAAACUCAAAGGAAUUGACGGGGGCUCACACAAGCGGUGGAGCAUGUGGCUUAAUUCGAGGCUACGCGAAGAACCUUAUCCUGGGCUUGACAUGUCCGAAAGGGGCAGGAAGUAGGGGGCGGAAACGUUCUCCGAACGGUAUCCAGUCCGGAACCUAGCACAGGUGCUGCAUGGCUGUCGUCAGCUCGUGUCGUGAGAUGUUGGGUUAAGUCCCGUAACGAGCGAAACCCUUGUCCCUAGUUGCUAACCCGUAAGGGAGGACUCUAGGGAGACUGCCGGCGUCAAGCCGGAGGAAGGCGGGGAUGACGUCAAGUCCUCAUGGCCUUUAUGCCCAGGGCUGCACACGUGCUACAAUGGCGUGGACAGAGGGAAGCAAACCUGCGAAGGGGAGCGAAUCCCAAAAAGCACGCCCCAGUUCAGAUCGAAGGCUGCAACUCGCCUUCGUGAAGUUGGAAUCGCUAGUAAUCGCGGGUCAGCAACACCGCGGUGAAUGUGUUCCUGAGCAUUGCACA